CCCGGUUCCAGUAGGAAGCCUCCUAGGCAGGGAGCUAAAGCUUUCACAGUGGCCUGUGGGGUGUGUGGCUUGGUAGAAGGCUCUGAUUGGGACAGCUUCCUCUGGAUUCAGCAUCCCUGGGUGGCUGCAAGAACCCUAAAUAGAACAUGUGUAUCACCUUUACCUCUGCAAGGCUCAGUGUCCAUCUUGGAAGAGAGGGUAGAUAGAAGUUGCUGUAACAGAAUGCCUGAGGUUGGGCACUUUGAGAGAAGUCAAACUUCCGGAGGCUUAAAGUUCAAACAGCAUGAUUCUCAUUCUCUUGAUGGGCCCUUGACUGCAUCACAUGAUGGAUGACGUCAUGGUGGCUGCACACGUGUAAGAGAGAUCACAUG
RNAcentral lists this long non-coding RNA (371 nucleotides) under Cricetulus griseus (Chinese hamster). RNAcentral describes it as "lncRNA (ENSCGRG00015031791.1)". The record is from RNAcentral. Lineage: Eukaryota; Metazoa; Chordata; Mammalia; Rodentia; Cricetidae.